This 928-nucleotide long non-coding RNA is filed under the name Rattus norvegicus (Norway rat). Its description in RNAcentral is "long non-coding RNA NONRATT002904". Lineage: Eukaryota; Metazoa; Chordata; Mammalia; Rodentia; Muridae. The record is from RNAcentral.
CUUCCUAAUGUGCUUAAUGAAUUUGGAACUCUCAACAUAUUAUUCCUUUUGGAUGAUUCAUGUGAUGUGUAUGGAGUCAGAUGUGAUGAGCUAGAACAGUGAGUGCUACGAGAAGCAAGAGUCCAAUCUACAGGAAAGGGAGAAGAAACUCAGAAAUUUUCAUUCAAGAACUCAUGUGAAAUGUUACUGGAAGGCACUUUGGCCACAUCAGUAUGACUGGCCUCAGAUAAAUUUCCACCCCCUCCUCCAAUACUUUGUGCAUUAAAAUGUCACUGCCAUUCUUUGUAUUCAACUCCUUCUAUAUAGCAAAAGAUGUGAAUUAUGUUAUUUUCCUGGUAACUUUAGCCCUAUGAUUUCUUUGUAACUUGAUGCUUCUGUGUAUUGUUCUAGGGAACAAAAGUGUUAACAUCACUGACAUCAGUGCUGCAUGACAGCAAGGAGUUCCCCAACCCAGAGAUGUUUGACCCUGGCCACUUUCUAGAUGAGAAUGGAAACUUUAAGAAAAGUGACUACUUUUUGCCUUUCUCAGCAGGAAAACGAGCUUGUGUUGGAGAGGGCCUGGCCCGCAUGCAGUUGUUUCUAUUCUUGACAACCAUUUUACAGAACUUUAACCUGAAAUCUCUGGUUCACCCAAAGGACAUUGAUACGAUGCCAGUUCUGAAUGGUUUUGCCUCUCUGCCACCCACUUACCAGCUCUGCUUCAUUCCUUCCUGAAUAGAUCAGGCAUUUUGGCUUCUACUGUGUUGCCUUCUGCAAUCCCCUUCAGGUUUUUAUCCAGUCCCUUCCCUCUAUCAUCCAUCCUGACUCUUGUCUUAAGAUCCAGAAAGCACAUGCAGUUUCUGGAGUUAUAGCACAAAUCCACUUGUAUUAUCUCUUUCAUAUAACAAUUUAUGAUCCCUUGUGUCAUUGUGUAUCCAUUCCUGAGUUA